This 73-nucleotide transfer RNA is filed under the name Streptomyces aurantiogriseus. Its description in RNAcentral is "tRNA-Gly(gcc)". It matches the Rfam family "tRNA". Rfam says of the family: Transfer RNA (tRNA) molecules are approximately 80 nucleotides in length. Their secondary structure includes four short double-helical elements and three loops (D, anti-codon, and T loops). Further hydrogen bonds mediate the characteristic L-shaped molecular structure. tRNAs have two regions of fundamental functional importance: the anti-codon, which is responsible for specific mRNA codon recognition, and the 3' end, to which the tRNAs corresponding amino acid is attached (by aminoacyl-tRNA synthetases). tRNAs cope with the degeneracy of the genetic code in two manners: having more than one tRNA (with a specific anti-codon) for a particular amino acid; and 'wobble' base-pairing, i.e. permitting non-standard base-pairing at the 3rd anti-codon position. Lineage: Bacteria; Bacillati; Actinomycetota; Actinomycetes; Kitasatosporales; Streptomycetaceae. The record is from RNAcentral.
CCGGACGUAGCGCAGAGGCAGGCGCACCGCCUUGCCAAGGCGACAACGUCGGUUCGAAUCCGACCGUCCGGGC